CCCAAACUUACACUACGUCUUGAAUUAUUCAGACAAGCAAAGAUAAGUAAUGAGUCUGAAGAAUGUGCUUUGGUUUUUACCUUUAAAACUUGGACAGUGAUUUGGAAGUGCCCCUUAGUACAACUCCUUUUCUAAAUAAAAGUCUGCUCCAUUUGCAACUCUGAACAUGUAAAUUGAAGGGGUGGCUCCCUUGGCCAGUGCCUGACCUCUGUGCACACCUUGGUCUGGCGUGACCUCGCCCACACUGCACACUGCAGCCAUAUAAAUCAGAUUUUUGACAUGUUAUAAAAUGCAAGUCACAGCUGCUGUUGUCUGCAGUAUUCAAAAACUUUUGAAACACUGCAUGUCCAACAAAAUUUAUUUUGUGUAUGAAUGUAAGUUUUUAUUGAGGGUACUGUUUUUCAACCCUAAUCUCUUGACCAAGAAUGAAACUAUUUACAAAUUAAGAUGCCAACAGAUCACGAAGAGCCCUGUGGUCCCAGUCACAAGUCAUUUUGCCUGAAUGGGGGGCUUUGUUAUGUGAUACCUACUAUUCCCAGCCCAUUUUGUAGGAAGUGAACUGAUGCUGGCUUCUCUUUGUCUUAUUCCAAGUUGGGGCAUGAGAUUUUCCCUGCAUUAGAAGGUUAUUGAGACCUGAAGCCUGGGAAGGUGUAUUGAAAACUAUACAGGAGCUCGCUGUGAAGAGGUUUUUCUCCCAAGCUCCAGCAUCCAAACUAAAAAUAACCUGUUUGAAGCUUUCAUGGCGUUGGCAGUCCUAAUAACACUUAUCAUUGGAGCCUUCUACUUCCUUUGCAGUGUCAGGAAGGUCCACUUUCAGAGAGCCAGUUCAGUCCAGUAUGAUAUCAACCUGGUAGAGACGAGCAGUACCAGUGCCCACCACAGUCAUGGAGAACACUGAAGAAACGUCAAAGUGAACCAAAUCAUUGCUUUUAUUUUACAGAGGCAGAAAAUGAAACACCACUAGGAUUUUCAUUAAGCCAACUCAUACCCAGUUUCUACAAAUGAAAAUCAAAGUCAAUCAUCUAAAAUUUCAUGAUUUCUUCCCAUCAAGAGGAUCUGGAGUCUUCUGUUCCCAUUAAAACUGAAUUUAUGGCAGUGCAAGCCCGGGCCAGACUGGGUAAAAAAUGAUGGAAGCACAUUUAUAUUCUUAAAAAUUUCUGCAGAUUGCAUAGAAAGUUCUCAGAUUUGUAAAAGUUUAUUUCUAUUGUAAUUCUUUGCAUGUUCAUUUUGUUAAAUUUGCAAUAUAAACCAGUUGCACAUCUUUUGCUAUCUGGCCUCCUAGGUUGAGGCUUAGGGUUUGCUUUAAGCAAAACUGAGAUAACUAUAAUGUGAACUGGCCUACUGGAUUGCCCACUUUUAUCAAUCUGCAAGGGUGGAUCUAUUUCUAGGUCUUAAUUUCAAGGUUUACUUUCCCUUUUCCUUAGAUUUUACUUGGAUCAAAGGGCAUGGAAAUAUAUUUCUUGCUUAAGUCUUACACAAAGGAAACUGUGGCCCCAGAAAUUAUUUUGCUUUGAAAGUAUGUAGAUGAAAUAAGUAUUUUUAAAUGUCUUGAUUAAAUAAAGCAUUCUAUGAUCUGA
Molecule: RNA transcript, 1577 nt
Organism: Cercocebus atys (sooty mangabey)
Lineage: Eukaryota; Metazoa; Chordata; Mammalia; Primates; Cercopithecidae
Gene: NRG4
Gene name: neuregulin 4
Exons: 8
Source: RefSeq, a predicted model, not a curated record